GACGAACUCUGGCGGCGUGCUUAACACAUGCAAGUCGAACGGUAAGGCUCCAGCUUGCUGGGGUACACGAGUGGCGAACGGGUGAGUAACACGUGGGUGACCUGCCCUGCACUUCGGGAUAAGCCUGGGAAACUGGGUCUAAUACCGGAUAGGACCGCACCGUGAGGGUGUGGUGGAAAGUUUUUUCGGUGUGGGAUGGGCCCGCGGCCUAUCAGCUUGUUGGUGGGGUAAUGGCCUACCAAGGCGGCGACGGGUAGCCGGCCUGAGAGGGUGGACGGCCACAUUGGGACUGAGACACGGCCCAGACUCCUACGGGAGGCAGCAGUGGGGAAUAUUGCACAAUGGGCGGAAGCCUGAUGCAGCGACGCCGCGUGGGGGAUGACGGCCUUCGGGUUGUAAACUCCUUUCACCAUCGACGAAGGGUUUCUGACGGUAGAUGGAGAAGAAGCACCGGCUAACUACGUGCCAGCAGCCGCGGUAAUACGUAGGGUGCGAGCGUUGUCCGGAAUUACUGGGCGUAAAGAGCUCGUAGGUGGUUUGUCGCGUCGUCUGUGAAAUUCCGGGGCUUAACUCCGGGCGUGCAGGCGAUACGGGCAUAACUUGAGUACUGUAGGGGAGACUGGAAUUCCUGGUGUAGCGGUGAAAUGCGCAGAUAUCAGGAGGAACACCGGUGGCGAAGGCGGGUCUCUGGGCAGUAACUGACGCUGAGGAGCGAAAGCAUGGGGAGCGAACAGGAUUAGACACCCUGGUAGUCCAUGCCGUAAACGGUGGGCGCUAGGUGUGGGUUUCCUUCCACGGGAUCCGUGCCGUAGCUAACGCAUUAAGCGCCCCGCCUGGGGAGUACGGCCGCAAGGCUAAAACUCAAAGGAAUUGACGGGGGCCCGCACAAGCGGCGGAGCAUGUGGAUUAAUUCGAUGCAACGCGAAGAACCUUACCUGGGCUUGACAUAUACAGGAUCGCGCCAGAGAUGGUGUUUCCCUUGUGGCUUGUAUACAGGUGGUGCAUGGUUGUCGUCAGCUCGUGUCGUGAGAUGUUGGGUUAAGUCCCGCAACGAGCGCAACCCUUGUCUUAUGUUGCCAGCACGUUGUGGUGGGGACUCGUAAGAAACUGCCGGGGUUAACUCGGAGGAAGGUGGGGAUGACGUCAAAUCAUCAUGCCCCUUAUGCCCAGGGCUUCACACAUGCUACAAUGGUCGGUACAGUGGGUUGCCAGUCCGUGAGGGCGAGCUAAUCCCGCAAAGCCGGUCUCAGUUCGGAUCGGGGUCUGCAACUCGACCCCGUGAAGUCGGAGUCGCUAGUAAUCGCAGAUCAGCAACGCUGCGGUGAAUACGUUCCCGGGCCU
RNAcentral lists this ribosomal RNA (1341 nucleotides) under uncultured bacterium. RNAcentral's name for it is "partial 16S ribosomal RNA". It matches the Rfam family "Bacterial small subunit ribosomal RNA", at positions 28 to 1381 of the family's 1533-position model. The record is from RNAcentral.